Molecule: long non-coding RNA, 490 nt
Filed under: Volvox carteri
Lineage: Eukaryota; Viridiplantae; Chlorophyta; Chlorophyceae; Chlamydomonadales; Volvocaceae
Description: long non-coding RNA (VCAR_LNC003936)
Source: RNAcentral
GCCGUGUCAUUGUCCCUAAUAAGUCAUUGUCCCGGCAUUUCGGCCGAUGUCCCCAAGCAACUGCUUUGCGUCCAUGUCACUAGAUUGGCGCAAUAGGUUGACAAGGUCGUCCAUAUGGCACCUUUCCUUGGACAAGGCAUCCUCCAAUUGGCACGCGGUAAAUUGACUUAGAUUGUUUGCCCUGGCAAACUUAUGUACUCCAAAACUCAUCCACUGGACGAUGCUGGCUGUAUUUGUUGCGUGGGCAAUCUUGUCGCCGACGGGCGAUGUUGUCCAGGGUGUUCCGGUCAAACUCGUAGGCGCCGACCUCAUUACCGUUGUCCAUGGACAUUGUGUUGGAAGGAUACGUUAAGGUUCAGAUAAAAUGAAGAAAUGAAGAAGCGCUCCUUCAUAGUAUGGAGAUGGUAGAAUCUUCAAGCAACUUUUGAACGACCAGGGAGAGUUGCUGAUAGGCGAAUUUGUAUGAAGCUAUAGACUUCCUUUAUUCUUU